CAUCUUCGGGCCCAGCAAGCUGGAGGAGAAGCAGGAGAGCAAGGUGCUCAAGUUCCUGGGCUUCAUGUGGAACCCGAUGUCCUGGGUCAUGGAGGCAGCCGCCAUCAUGGCCAUCGCGCUCGCCAACGGAGGAGGCAAGCCACCGGACUGG
This is a long non-coding RNA of Setaria italica (foxtail millet), 151 nucleotides long. RefSeq lists it as uncharacterized. The transcript is spliced from 3 exons. Lineage: Eukaryota; Viridiplantae; Streptophyta; Magnoliopsida; Poales; Poaceae. The record is from RefSeq and is a predicted model, not a curated record.